AUUGAACGCUGGCGGCAUGCCUUACACAUGCAAGUCGAACGGUAACAGGUCUUCGGAUGCUGACGAGUGGCGAACGGGUGAGUAAUACAUCGGAACGUGCCUAGUAGUGGGGGAUAACUACUCGAAAGAGUGGCUAAUACCGCAUGAGAUCUACGGAUGAAAGCAGGGGAACGCAAGACCUUGUGCUACUAGAGCGGCCGAUGGCAGAUUAGGUAGUUGGUGGGAUAAAAGCUUACCAAGCCGACGAUCUGUAGCUGGUCUGGGAGGACGAUCAGCCACACUGGGACUGAGACACGGCCCAGACUCCUACGGGAGGCAGCAGUGGGGAAUUUUGGACAAUGGGCGAAAGCCUGAUCCAGCAAUGCCGCGUGCAGGAUGAAGGCCUUCGGGUUGUAAACUGCUUUUGUACGGAACGAAAAGCCCCGGGUUAAUACCCUGAGGUCAUGACGGUACCGUAAGAAUAAGCACCGGCUAACUACGUGCCAGCCGCCGCGGUAA
Molecule: ribosomal RNA, 498 nt
Filed under: uncultured bacterium
Lineage: Bacteria
Description: partial 16S ribosomal RNA
Rfam family: Bacterial small subunit ribosomal RNA
Source: RNAcentral